This 406-nucleotide ribosomal RNA is filed under the name uncultured bacterium. RNAcentral's name for it is "partial 16S ribosomal RNA". It matches the Rfam family "Bacterial small subunit ribosomal RNA", at positions 30 to 526 of the family's 1533-position model. The record is from RNAcentral.
AUUGAACGCUGGCGGCAUGCCUAACACAUGCAAGUCGAACGAGUGGCGGACGGGUGAGUAAUGUCUGGGAAACUGCCUGAUGGAGGGGGAUAACUACUGGAAACGGUAGCUAAUACCGCAUACCAUCAGAUGUGCCCAGAUGGGAUUAGCUAGUAGGUGGGGUACCGGCUCACCUAGGCGACGAUGCCUAGCUGGUCUGAGAGGAUGACCAGCCACACUGGAACUGAGACACGGUCCAGACUCCUACGGGAGGCAGCAGUGGGGAAUAUUGCACAAUGGGCGCAAGCCUGAGGCAGCCAUGCGGCGUGUAUGAAGAAGUCCUUCGGGGUGUAAAGUACUUUCAGCGGGGAAGCGUUACCCGAAGAAGAAGCAACGGCUAACUCCGUGCGAGCAGCCGCGGUAAUUC